GUUGUCCGGAUUCAUUGGGCGUAAAGUAGCUCGUAGGCGGCCUGCCGCGAUCUGCCGUGAAAGCCCACGGCUCAACCGUGGGUCUGCGGCGGAUACGGGCGGGCUUGAGGCUGGUAGGGGCAAGCGGAAUUCCUGGUGUAGCGGUGAAAUGCGCAGAUAUCAGGAGGAACACCGGUGCCGAAGGCGGCUUGCUGGGCCAGUCCUGACGCUGAGGAGCGAAAGCGUGGGGGAGCGAACAGGAUUAGAUACCCUGGUAGUCCACGCCGUAAACGUUGGGCGCUGGGUGUGGGGGCUUUCCACGGUUCCCGUGCCGUAGCUAACGCGUUAAGCGCCCCGCCUGGGGAGUACGGCCGCA
Molecule: ribosomal RNA, 355 nt
Filed under: uncultured bacterium
Lineage: Bacteria
Description: SSU rRNA
Rfam family: Bacterial small subunit ribosomal RNA
Source: RNAcentral